Molecule: long non-coding RNA, 1201 nt
Filed under: Calidris pugnax (ruff)
Lineage: Eukaryota; Metazoa; Chordata; Aves; Charadriiformes; Scolopacidae
Description: lncRNA (ENSCPUG00000004526.1)
Source: RNAcentral
UCAGGAUGGAUACUGAGGAAGUCUCUAAAAACAGUGUCUUGGAGGACAACAUCUUUGAUGGACAGAAGAAUUAGGCAAGGGAUUCAGGCUGGAAGGACCUUGGAAAGGCCUGCAAAAAAGGCACUAAAAGACAGAAAAAUGAAUUCUGCCUCAAGAAACUGCAAAGUAGAGGGACAACAACUUGCUCAAAAAUAACAUUCUCAGGCUGAAAUCUUGCAGAACAGCAACCUAUAAAACAAUUAGAUGCACUAAUUGCCACAGGUGGAUGGAAACACUUCACCAGCUUCUCCUGAUUUGCUGAAGUCAUGGACCGAGGCAGUGAUUUGUCAGACGUCCUCUUGGCUUAUAUGUAAAGGCUAAUGAUGAAAAUAUGUAAUCAGCUUAGGCAAGAUCCAGUCCUGGAUAACCAUUUAACAUUGAAACCUGACCUACUACAAAAUGGAAAUCAGUAUCAUCAUCAACGCUGGAUAAAUCUGUGCAAGAAUUGUUACACUGAAAGGUGGCCAUAUUUCCAUACUGGGGGCGAAUCACUUACCAUUCCCGGCAGCAAUGGGCUGCAGUUAUUGACCAAUUUGGAAAACGCAGAUGUACUAUCUAUUCUGUGUACCUAUUACAUCCACUAUGUUUUCAAAGAAACAGCCAGCCCCAAGCCCAAAAGCCAGAACACUUGUUUGUACAGACCUUCUCCUGCCUGAGGGUGUUUGAAUCUAUAUUAUAACUUAGGACAGCUUCAGUAAGUUUUUUGUGAAUGGAUGUUCUCAUUCUCCCGGGGGCAAUGUUUUACAUGUCAUAAAUCAGAAAGUGCUCCCUGGAGCCAGGCUGUGCUCUUGUGUUCUCCCCUUGUAGAGUUAUCGCUGUUAAACUCUCUCUCAUUUACUGUUACUUAAAUAUUUUGCAAAGUGUGGAAACAAGCACUCUAGAGAAAUUCUGUGUGCAGAAAGCAGUCCUCCAGCCCAACUUUGGUGAAUCUUCUAUGUCAUGUUUUGACCAAGAAAUGUCCAUUUAAAGAUAAGGGUACUGCCUCUGACUGAUGAAAUCACUGAGCCACAAUUUGCUGGAAGGUGGGAGGGCAUAUUGGUGAAGUUUCAUCAUCAAAUUGCUCUGCUUUUCAUAUGACUUCUUAAGCAUCUCUGGCCAUGCUCAACAGAUGUAGUCUUCAGCUUGAUGAACCUUGGUUUUUAUGAAUUAUUUCAUUUUGUGU